This 304-nucleotide ribosomal RNA is filed under the name uncultured bacterium. Its description in RNAcentral is "partial 16S ribosomal RNA". It matches the Rfam family "Bacterial small subunit ribosomal RNA", at positions 506 to 809 of the family's 1533-position model. The record is from RNAcentral.
UGCCAGCAGCCGCGGUAAUACAKAGGGUGCGAGCGUUAAUCGGAUUUACUGGGCGUAAAGCGUGCGUAGGCGGCUUUUUAAGUYKGAUGUGAAAUCCCCGAGCUUAACUUGGGAAUYGCAUUCGAUACUGGGAAGCUAGAGUAUGGGAGAGGAUGGUAGAAUUCCAGGUGUAGCGGUGAAAUGCGUAGAKAUAUGGAGGAAYACCGAUGGCGAAGGCAGCCAUCUGGCYUAAUACUGACGCUGAGGYACGAAAGCAUGGGGAGCAAACAGGAUUAGAUACCCUGGUAGUCCAAGGGCGAAUUCG